UACGUAGGGGGCAAGCGUUGUCCGGAAUUAUUGGGCGUAAAGAGCGUGUAGGCGGUCCGGUAAGUCAGCUGUGAAAGUCAAGGGCUCAACCCUUGAAUGCCGGUUGAUACUGUCGGGCUAGAGUCCGGAAGAGGCGAGUGGAAUUCCCGGUGUAGCGGUGAAAUGCGCAGAUAUCGGGAGGAACACCAAUAGCGAAGGCAGCUCGCUGGGACGGUAUUGACGCUAAGGCGCGAAAGCGUGGGGAGCAAACAGG
RNAcentral lists this ribosomal RNA (253 nucleotides) under uncultured bacterium. RNAcentral's name for it is "partial 16S ribosomal RNA". It matches the Rfam family "Bacterial small subunit ribosomal RNA", at positions 524 to 776 of the family's 1533-position model. The record is from RNAcentral.